UAGUGGCGGACGGGUGAGUAACGCGUGGGUAACCUGCCUUAUACAGGGGGAUAACAGUCAGAAAUGGCUGCUAAUACCGCAUAAGCGCACAGAGCUGCAUGGCUCAGUGUGAAAAACUCCGGUGGUAUAAGAUGGACCCGCGUUGGAUUAGCUUGUUGGCGGGGUAACGGCCCACCAAGGCGACGAUCCAUAGCCGGCCUGAGAGGGUGAACGGCCACAUUGGGACUGAGACACGGCCCAGACUCCUACGGGAGGCAGCAGUGGGGAAUAUUGCACAAUGGGGGAAACCCUGAUGCAGCGACGCCGCGUGGAGGAAGAAGGUCUUCGGAUUGUAAACUCCUGUUGUUGGGGAAGAUAAUGACGGUACCCAACAAGGAAGUGACGGCUAACUACGUGCCAGCAGCCGCGGUAAAACGUAGGUCACAAGCGUUGUCCGGAAUUACUGGGUGUAAAGGGAGCGCAGGCGGGAAGACAAGUUGGAAGUGAAAUCUAUGGGCUCAACCCAUAAACUGCUUUCAAAACUGUUUUUCUUGAGUAGUGCAGAGGUAGGCGGAAUUCCCGGUGUAGCGGUGGAAUGCGUAGAUAUCGGGAGGAACACCAGUGGCGAAGGCGGCCUACUGGGCACCAACUGACGCUGAGGCUCGAAAGCGUGGGUAGCAAACAGGAUUAGAUACCCUGGUAGUCCACACCGUAAACGAUGAUUACUAGGUGUUGGAGGAUUGACCCCUUCAGUGCCGCAGUUAACACAAUAAGUAAUCCACCUGGGGAGUACGACCGCAAGGUUGAAACUCAAAGGAAUUGACGGGGGCCCGCACAAGCAGUGGAGUAUGUGGUUUAAUUCGAAGCAACGCGAAGAACCUUACCAAAUCUUGACAUCCCUCUGGCCGGUCUUUAAUCGGACCUUCUCUUCGGAGCAGAGGUGACAGGUGGUGCAUGGUUGUCGUCAGCUCGUGUCGUGAGAUGUUGGGUUAAGUCCCGCAACGAGCGCAACCCCUAUCCUCAGUAGCCAGCAAGUUAAGUUGGGCACUCUGGGGAGACUGCCAGGGAUAACCUGGAGGAAGGCGGGGAUGACGUCAAAUCAUCAUGCCCCUUAUGACCAGGGCUACACACGUGCUACAAUGGCGUAAACAAAGGGAGGCAGAGCCGCGAGGCCGAGCAAAUCUCAAAAAUAACGUCUCAGUUCGGAUUGUAGUCUGCAACUCGACUACAUGAAGCUGGAAUCGCUAGUAAUCGCAGAUCAGAAUGCUGCGGUGAAUACGUUCCCGGGCCUUGUACACACCGCCCGUCA
This 1288-nucleotide ribosomal RNA is filed under the name uncultured bacterium. Its description in RNAcentral is "bacterial SSU rRNA". It matches the Rfam family "Bacterial small subunit ribosomal RNA", at positions 93 to 1399 of the family's 1533-position model. The record is from RNAcentral.